Molecule: ribosomal RNA, 492 nt
Filed under: uncultured bacterium
Lineage: Bacteria
Description: partial 16S ribosomal RNA
Rfam family: Bacterial small subunit ribosomal RNA
Source: RNAcentral
AGUGAACGCUGGCGGUAGGCCUAACACAUGCAAGUCGAACGGCAGCACAGUAAGAGCUUGCUCUUACGGGUGGCGAGUGGCGGACGGGUGAGGAAUACAUCGGAAUCUACUUUUUCGUGGGGGAUAACGUAGGGAAACUUACGCUAAUACCGCAUACGACCUACGGGUGAAAGCAGGGGAUCUUCGGACCUUGCGCGAUUGAAUGAGCCGAUGUCGGAUUAGCUAGUUGGCGGGGUAAAGGCCCACCAAGGCGACGAUCCGUAGCUGGUCUGAGAGGAUGAUCGGCCACACUGGAACUGAGACACGGUCCAGACUCCUACGGGAGGCAGCAGUGGGGAAUAUUGGACAAUGGGCGCAAGCCUGAUCCAGCCAUACUGCGUGUGUGAAGAAGGCCUUCGGGUUGUAAAGCCCUUUUGUUGGGAAAGAAAAGCAGCAGGUUAAUACCCCGCUGUUCUGACGGUACCCAAAGAAUAAGCACCGGCUAACUUCGUG